This 437-nucleotide long non-coding RNA is filed under the name Gallus gallus (chicken). RNAcentral describes it as "long non-coding RNA NONGGAT003758". Lineage: Eukaryota; Metazoa; Chordata; Aves; Galliformes; Phasianidae. The record is from RNAcentral.
ACACAGGAAAACAAGACAAGUGCCAAGAAAUCCACAGCAUUACGAGGGUUCUUCAAUUACAUAAACUCACACUGAGGACCAUGGACAUGUGAAUAUCCAUGAGCACAGCAAACAGUGAGAACAUCACAGCAAGUUUAGGGUGACAGAAACUGAGAAAUAAUGUGUACGUUGAGUCUAAGCCCUGACAAGUACUGUGGAAGAGACCCAAAAAUACCUUUAUUUCCAAGGUAAAAACAAUACAAACAAACUCUUAACAAGUUCUCGUGCUUUACUGUGUUUAAAUAUACUUACUGUAAAGGGUUUUGCAGUUCCCCUAUCAUCUUUACUUGAAAUAAUCUUGGCAUUUUUUCUUGUCUCUCUCAAGCGGUCAAGAGGUGGAGGCUUUAUAAAUAUAACAAACGGCUUAAACUCGUAUGUCCGUAAGUGUUUCACUGUCU